This 433-nucleotide ribosomal RNA is filed under the name uncultured bacterium. RNAcentral's name for it is "partial 16S ribosomal RNA". It matches the Rfam family "Bacterial small subunit ribosomal RNA", at positions 29 to 507 of the family's 1533-position model. The record is from RNAcentral.
AACGAACGCUGGCGGCAUGCCUAACACAUGCAAGUCGAACGAGACCUUUGGGUCUAGUGGCGCACGGGUGCGUAACGCGUGGGAAUCUGCCCUUGGGUUCGGAAUAACAGUGAGAAAUUGCUGCUAAUACCGGAUGAUUUCUUCGGACCAAAGAUUUAUCGCCCAGGGAUGAGCCCGCGUAGGUUUAGCUUGUUGGUAGUGUAAUGGCCUACCAAGGCGACGAUCCUUAGCUGGUCUGAGAGGAAGAUCAGCCACACUGGGACUGGGACACGGCCCAGACUCCUACGGGAGGCAGCAGAGGGGAAUAUUGGACAAUGGGCGCAAGCCUGAACCAGCAAGGCCGCGUGAGUGAUGAAGGCCUUAGGGUUGUAAAGCUCUUUUACCAGGGAUGAUAAUGACAGUACCUGGAGAAUAAGCUCCGGCUAACUCCGUG